RNAcentral lists this ribosomal RNA (620 nucleotides) under uncultured bacterium. RNAcentral describes it as "bacterial SSU rRNA". It matches the Rfam family "Bacterial small subunit ribosomal RNA", at positions 283 to 916 of the family's 1533-position model. The record is from RNAcentral.
UUAGGGGAGCUGAGAGGCUGACCCCCACCGAUGGGACUGAGACACGGCCCAUACUCCUACGGGAGGCCGCAGUCGAGAAUCUUCCGCAAUGGACGCAAGUCUGACGGAGCGAUACAGCGUGGUAGAUGAAGUGCUUCGGCACGUAAAUACCUUUUAUGAGGGACGAAAUUAUUGACGGUACCUCAUGAAUAAGGGGCUCCUAACUCUGUGCCAGCAGGAGCGGUAAUACAGAGGCCCCAAGCAUUAUCCGGAAUCACUGGGCGUAAAGGGUGUCAAGGCGGUCAUAUUAGUCUUCCGUUAAAUCCAGGAGCUCAACUUCUGGCCUGCGGGAGAAACGGUAUGACUAGAGGUUGGAAGAGGUGCGUGGAACUCACGGUGUAGGGGUGAAAUCCGUUGAUAUCGUGGGGAACACCAAAGGCGAAGGCAGCGCACUGGUCCAAAUCUGACGCUCACACACGAAAGCCAGGGUAGCGAAUGGGAUUAGAUACCCCAGUAGUCCUGGCCCUAAACGUUGCUCGCUCGUUUUACGGAGAAUCGACCCUCUGUGAGACUAAGCUAACGCGGUAAGCGAGCCGCCUGGGUAGUACGAUCGCAAGGUUAAAACUCAAAGGAAUUGACGG